This 323-nucleotide ribosomal RNA is filed under the name uncultured prokaryote. RNAcentral's name for it is "partial 16S ribosomal RNA". The record is from RNAcentral.
CCCUCUGGGGUGCAGCAGGCGACAUGGCCUAAAAUGUCAUCCAUUGAAACGCAUGCCCGCGUGGGUAAAACCAUUCAACAUUGUUUGGAGCUUUUAAAUUAUCAACAAGAUUCAGAGCAAAAAGCCGCAGAAUUUAUUGCAGUUUAAUGUUGAAGAUAUUCAUCGUUUAAAUUUAACGUUAAAGACCAAGCCUACAAGUUUAACUUUUGGGCGUGCUUUAUAUGCAUUUGAAUAUGAGCAGCAACAUUAUUGGUUGAAAACACAAGCACCGAAUGUUAAUCCGUAUUAUGAAGCUGGAUUUUGAAAUGAAUUGGCGGGAGAGC